UACGCUGUUAGCUCAGCAGGUUAGAGCAAUUGUCUUCUAAGCAAUCGGUCACUGGUUCGAUUCCAGUCAGAGGAGCCA
Molecule: transfer RNA, 78 nt
Filed under: Salmonella enterica subsp. enterica
Lineage: Bacteria; Pseudomonadati; Pseudomonadota; Gammaproteobacteria; Enterobacterales; Enterobacteriaceae
Description: tRNA-Arg
Rfam family: tRNA
About the family: Transfer RNA (tRNA) molecules are approximately 80 nucleotides in length.
Source: RNAcentral